This 547-nucleotide long non-coding RNA is filed under the name Mytilus galloprovincialis (Mediterranean mussel). Lineage: Eukaryota; Metazoa; Mollusca; Bivalvia; Mytilida; Mytilidae. The record is from RNAcentral.
UUGUUACCGGAGAAGUUUCAUGUUUAGUUUGGAAAGUUUUUUCUUUUAUUUUAGGUACAGCGCGCGCGCCACAUUCAGGAGACAUCACGUGACGCGGGUUUAUAAUAACGAAAAGAUAGUCUUUUUAUUUCUUUUUAGGUGGGGACGUUAAACAGACAACAUCUAUAGAGAUGGAAUGUACACAAUGUAAUUUCUUUUGUCAUUGUAGGAAAUUGACAUUUUGAUGACAGUUCACAAGUAGUGCAUGUUUUGGAUUUAAUUGAUCCGGUGUAACUUUAAAACACAUUUAUUGAUUAUUUUCUGAUAAUGUACAUUUUUCAGCACCUGUUUGUAACACAGAUUAAGUAUUUCAACUCGGAGCGGACAUUUUAUUGUAGGUUUUUACUGAGAUUUACGGACCUAGCAAGCUAUUUUUACGGCAUUGCCAUUUCUUUUCUCUAGGAAAAGCUUUGAGAGAUAUCUGCACCAAGUUUUUUUAUAAACGUUUAGUACAUGUAUGCCCUGCUGACUGCAAAUUUUGAGGUCGAUUGUACUUGUAGUUUCAGAG